CAAUUAUACCGUGAAACUGCGAAUGGCUCAUUAAAUCAGUUAUCGUUUAUUUGAUAAUACCUUACUACUUGGAUAACCGUGGUAAUUCUAGAGCUAAUACAUGCUGAAAAUCCCGACUUCGGAAGGGAUGUGUUUAUUAGAUAAAAAACCAAUGCCCUUCGGGGCUUUUUGGUGAUUCAUGAUAACUUUACGGAUCGCAUAGCCUUGCGCUGGCGACGGUUCAUUCAAAUUUCUGCCCUAUCAACUUUCGAUGGUAAGGUAUUGGCUUACCAUGGUUUCAACGGGUAACGGGGAAUUAGGGUUCGAUUCCGGAGAGGGAGCCUGAGAAACGGCUACCACAUCCAAGGAAGGCAGCAGGCGCGCAAAUUACCCAAUCCCGACACGGGGAGGUAGUGACAAUAAAUACUGAUACAGGGCUCUUUUGGGUCUUGUAAUUGGAAUGAGUACAAUUUAAACCUCUUAACGAGGAACAAUUGGAGGGCAAGUCUGGUGCCAGCAGCCGCGGUAAUUCCAGCUCCAAUAGCGUAUAUUAAAGUUGUUGCAGUUAAAAAGCUCGUAGUUGAAACUUGGGCCUGGCUGGCGGGUCCGCCUCACCGCGUGCACUCGUCCGGCCGGGCCUUCCUUCUGAAGAACCUCAUGCCCUUCACUGGGCGUGCUGGGGAAUCAGGACUUUUACUUUGAAAAAAUUAGAGUGUUCAAAGCAGGCCUUUGCUCGAAUACGUUAGCAUGGAAUAAUAAAAUAGGGCGUGCGUUUCUAUUUUGUUGGUGUCUAGAGACGCCGCAAUGAUUAACAGGAACAGUCGGGGGCAUCAGUAUUCAGUUGUCAGAGGUGAAAUUCUUGGAUUACUGAAGACUAACUACUGCGAAAGCAUUUGCCAAGGAUGUUUUCAUUAAUCAGUGAACGAAAGUUAUGGGAUCGAAGACGAUCGAUACCGUCGUAGUCUAACCGUAAACAUGCCGACUAGGGACGGGCGA
Molecule: ribosomal RNA, 975 nt
Filed under: Alternaria burnsii
Lineage: Eukaryota; Fungi; Ascomycota; Dothideomycetes; Pleosporales; Pleosporaceae
Description: SSU rRNA
Rfam family: Eukaryotic small subunit ribosomal RNA
Source: RNAcentral